Molecule: ribosomal RNA, 181 nt
Filed under: Actinomycetota bacterium
Lineage: Bacteria; Bacillati; Actinomycetota
Description: partial 16S ribosomal RNA
Rfam family: Bacterial small subunit ribosomal RNA
Source: RNAcentral
UUCACGGAGAGUUUGAUCCUGGCUCAGGACGAACGCUGGCGGCGCGCUUAACACAUGCAAGUCGAGCGAGAACCGGGACUUCGGUCCCGGGGACAGCGGCGAACGGGUGAGUAACACGUGGGUAAUCAACCCCCGGCACCGGGAUAGCCCGAGGAAACUCGGAUUAAUACCGGAUAGCCCC